This 368-nucleotide ribosomal RNA is filed under the name uncultured organism. Its description in RNAcentral is "bacterial SSU rRNA". It matches the Rfam family "Bacterial small subunit ribosomal RNA", at positions 526 to 896 of the family's 1533-position model. The record is from RNAcentral.
CGGAGGAUCCAAGCGUUAUCCGGAUUCAUUGGGUUUAAAGGGUGCGUAGGCGGAUUUGUAAGUCAGUGGUGAAAUCUCUCAGCUUAACUGAGAAACUGCCAUUGAUACUGCAAGUCUUGAGUACAUUUGAUGUGGGCGGAAUGUGUCAUGUAGCGGUGAAAUGCUUAGAUAUGACACAGAACACCGAUUGCGAAGGCAGCUCACAAAACUGUAACUGACGCUGAGGCACGACAGCGUGGGGAUCAAACAGGAUUAGAUACCCUGGUAGUCCACGCCGUAAACUAUGAUCACUCGAUGUUGGCGAUACACAGCCAGCGUCUAAGCUAAAGCAUUAAGUGAUCCACCUGGGGAGUACGGUCGCAAGAUUG